RNAcentral lists this ribosomal RNA (497 nucleotides) under uncultured bacterium. Its description in RNAcentral is "partial 16S ribosomal RNA". It matches the Rfam family "Bacterial small subunit ribosomal RNA", at positions 28 to 507 of the family's 1533-position model. The record is from RNAcentral.
GAUGAACGCUGGCGGCGUGCCUAAUACAUGCAAGUCGAGCGAACGGACGAGAAGCUUGCUUCUCUGAUGUUAGCGGCGGACGGGUGAGUAACACGUGGAUAACCUACCUAUAAGACUGGGAUAACUUCGGGAAACCGGAGCUAAUACCGGAUAAUAUUUUGAACCGCAUGGUUCAAAAGUGAAAGACGGUCUUGCUGCUACUUAUAGAUGGAUCCGCGCUGCAUUAGCUAGUUGGUAAGGUAACGGCUUACCAAGGCAACGAUGCAUAGCCGACCUGAGAGGGUGAUCGGCCACACUGGAACUGGGACACGGUCCAGACUCCUACGGGAGGCAGCAGUAGGGAAUCUUCCGCAAUGGGCGAAAGCCUGACGGAGCAACGCCGCGUGAGUGAUGAAGGUCUUCGGAUCGUAAAACUCUGUUAUUAGGGAAGAACAUAUGUGUAAGUAACUGUGCACAUCUUGACGGUACCUAAUCAGAAAGCCACGGCUAACUACGUG